RNAcentral lists this transfer RNA (68 nucleotides) under Chloroflexota bacterium. Its description in RNAcentral is "Chloroflexi bacterium (marine sediment metagenome) tRNA-Thr". The record is from RNAcentral. Lineage: Bacteria; Bacillati; Chloroflexota.
GCCAGCGAACCCACUGGGUCUGUUUCGUAAACAGCAGGUCUUCGGUUCGAAUCCGAACGUUGGCUCCA